Molecule: long non-coding RNA, 2063 nt
Organism: Macrobrachium nipponense
Lineage: Eukaryota; Metazoa; Arthropoda; Malacostraca; Decapoda; Palaemonidae
Exons: 4
Source: RefSeq, a predicted model, not a curated record
GACACGCAAAUCUACGACCGUCCCACUGAGGCCAUUGAUGUGCAUGCUCAGGCAUUAUGCGGACACGUGUAUUUGCCAUGGUCUCAUCCCGCUCGUUCAUAAAUGGAACCAUUUCCUUCAGUGACAAAAAUUAAGCCAAUAAGAAUGGGGCCAUGUAGCUACCGUCGAAACAGAUAUGGAUUCCUCACCAGAUCGCCUAACGCAUCGUAAAUUGAGUGAACAUUUUCCACACGAAUAGUAACAAUGAAGACCAGAAAUCUUGGACUAUGUAGUACUACCUGGAUCAUCAUCCAUCAUGUUAAGAGAAACGGGAUUUCAGCUGAGCAGUAUUCAAAUACAGGCAAAUGCAAAAAAACUUAUUUUGUAUGUUAAAAGGGAUUUUGUGCUGGCCAGCACCAGCCCAUCCAGUGACAACACCACAGCAGCAGCAUGCAUCCAUCUGCCACCCUUCACAACCCAGAGGCCUGGUUCUAAGGAUUGGAAGCCAUCUCCAGGUACAAGAAAAUCUCUUCCACCCACAAAGCUGACACCAUUCUUGAGUUCCUGCCAGACAACAUCUUUGAAUAGAUCGUGUAAUGGCUUGCUGACCAAAAGGCCACCGUCUCCUAGGAAGUGCUGAUGGAUCAACUAAGGCAGCAAUAGUAGACCCGCAUCAUUCAUUAGCUAGUUACCGCCCAGAGACUAUGUUAGACCUAGUGAGAGGGGUCCUACCCACAAAAUUAUCCUGCUAAACAGUCAUGGCCAUCCCCAACACAUCAACCAUGGACAUCGAAGUCCUGAAAAUGGCAGAUUCUGUCCACAAGUCUACUGCGCCUACACAACAACCAUAGCAACAACAGACCGACGCAGGUACGGAAAGUGAUCCAGAGGACCCGCUGCCCCCAUACACUGCCACAGGAGCUUCAGGUGGAAAAACAAAAUGAAGUACAAGCCCUAAACAGAAGUAUGUCCCCAAGUGCUUUUAUUUCUUUCACUGGAGGUUCAAGAAUGAUGCCUGAAAAUGCAAAAAUGACUGCUGCAUGUCAAAACACAUGUUAAAGGGUUGCAGCAGCGACCCAACAACCAAAACUUAUCUGGUGGGCAGACCAGUUGCCUUGUAGGAGAAACUGUGCCUGCUUAAAAGUUGCCAAUUUUAUGGCGGUAGACAAGCGCCAUAAAACCAGAUUGUCAUUAAGCAAGUCUGCCGAUAACUGGGGACUGCCUGUAUGGAGUUUCUGGCUGACACCAGCACAUGAAAGUUAUUCGUGCCAGCAAACCUCAGUGGUGCAUCUUGUGGGGAAUGAAGGCAGCCUUCAAAAAGUGGUCAAGAGAAUGCCUCCCGUGCCAAACAUCAAAAGUAACGACACACAGAAAUGGGGAUAGGAGAGUUCCAGACAACACAGUGAUGAUUGACCCACAUCUACAUUGACAUCAUGGAACCCCUUCCCCCCCACCCUCUGUUGGGUACACGUAUCUCUUCACUAUCAUCAACUGGAAUACUAGAUGGCCAGAAGUUGUGAGAGAGCACUAAAGGGUUGGGUCAGCAGGCAUGGAGUAUACAACAAUGCACAAAGAGCGACAGAGGAGCCAACUUCACCUUCGCCUUAUGGAGCUCCGACAGAGCCCAUGACUCUUCCAGAUGUCCGUAAAGCACUGGAAAACACCGUGCCGGCGAAGAUAGCAAAUGACAGAAGGAAAGAAAAUGUCCCUGAAGAACUCAAAAGACAAAGUAUCUGUUCAUAAGAAUAGAUUCAUAUAAGACAACCCCACUUCUCCAGCCUACUUACAGAUCCAGCACUCCUGAUUCAUGCAUUUUUCAGAAGCUACUUUGUAACUUUGUUAGAACAGUAAUUAAUAGCACAUGUAAGUCAUGACAUUGCAAGCUUUCCAACCAUAUGUAUUGAAACUCUAAUUUGUAUUUAAAUUGUUAACCAUUUUUCAGUGCGAGGAAACACAGCUUGAUGUAUUGAUGUAAAUAUAUAUGUCUGUCUGUAUCUCUCCCUGAUGUCAAAAGCUAGUGGAAUGCUUGCACAAGUUCUUGACCUGCGAGGGAUUGAGAGUCAUUAAAUCAGAAUACAUCUUGA